Chinchilla lanigera (long-tailed chinchilla) is the source of this 3174-nucleotide long non-coding RNA. RefSeq lists it as uncharacterized. The record is from RefSeq and is a predicted model, not a curated record. Lineage: Eukaryota; Metazoa; Chordata; Mammalia; Rodentia; Chinchillidae. The transcript is spliced from 4 exons.
CGGACCCGUCCCCGCACGCGCCGACCGCCCUGGACGAGUCGAGCCGUCGUUACCUGGCCGGCGGCGGGGUGUUGGGCCGGGGGCGUCCGCGUGGCCCCUCGCACAGCGCGUCCUCGCCUGGCGCAGGUGCGGCGCGGGGGCUUCUGGCGGCGGCCGCUUCUAAAGGCAGCGUCGGGUAUCGGGUUUUCUCCGCUCGCCGGUGCCCGAGCUGUGUGCAAGAAGAACUUGCCUGCUCCCUGGAACGGCGUGAGCUGGAGGAGCCCUGUGGCUGUGACAAACAGUACCUGGCACUUGAAUUUGCAGCAGACUGACAAGCCCAGUACUGAAGGAUGAAUGCCACAGGAAAUGAGUGCAGUCCUUGAGAGAAUUUAGCAUCCACCUUUACGCCUCAGUGUCCAGGCCCCUGGCCAGCACGUGAGGUCUGCACAAGACUUGUGCGGUUACUCCCCUCGUCCGGUUGUCCUACACUUUUUCUCACAGUCACCAAAACCCUGGGUUUCAGCCUCAGUGGAGGACAGGUACGUGACCCAGUACAAAUGAAAGAACAUUUAGACGAGAUGAUGGGAAAUUUACAAUAUGACUCAAUCCAAAAGUUCUACAUUACAGUUCUGCAAUUUAAAUUUAUGUUAUUUCCUCUCCCUAAUUUUUAUUUAUAUUAUAAUUAAGAUACUAAGUUUAUAUUAUUUGGUUUUGGCUAAGUGACUUUAUGACAUGAAGGCCCUGCAAAAUCUCCAGGUUCUGAGCCAUGGUUUAUCAGAAUAUCUCCGUGGAAGAUGAAUUUUUAACAAAACAGCUAAACCGUGCAGUUGUAUAAACGAGGCCUUAUUCUUACAGUUCUUUUUUAGUCAGGGAGUUUUGUGUCGGGAUUAUUCUCGGUAAGUGGGAAGGACUUGCUGUGUAAUCCAUCAGGGGUAAUAGUCAAUUCCUUUGAAAAGCUUUUCAUUGUAAUUUUCCAUUUUAAAAACAUCAUGCAUUUCUGUUUUUUUAAGUACUUAUGCCUGUUAUUUAUCCUUAUAGCCGUUUGACGUAGGUAGUGAAGGAAUUAUUGCUAAUAGCAAAAACCCAUAAAAUGGGAGCGGGGAGGCCAGCAUAGCCUGCUGUUUCCCUAAGCCCUCUGUGUCCUUUUCCCUCACCUUGAUCCCCGCUCUGCUCUGCGCUCCACUUCCCCUCCUGCUGGGCUCCUCACCCUGACUCCCGCCAGCGCUCUUCCUGCUGCCACCAUGUGUGCCUGCCUGUCCUCUAACUCCUGUGCCCCCUGCCGCCUGCAUCUCCAGGGCGCUGCUCUGCUCUGCAUCCUUUUCCUGCUUUCACCCUCCUCCGAUCUGUUGACCCCAAAAUGGGAGUCCUUUCCUGGCCCAGCCCUUCCGUGUCAUGGAGGGAUCAGCAGCUGACAGAGAAGGAGCUGUCCUCCAUGAAGCUGGUGGUCCCCUGCUUAGCGUAGCAGCAAACUGGGAGGCCCCACAGCCCCCCACCUGGUGGGCUGUCAGGAUGAGGAGUGGUCCCUCCUUGAAGUGGCUGUCGUAAGUUACCAGGUCCCAGUGUCACCUAGUCGGUGAGCGCACUCAAAGAAUCAGUCACUCACUGCACAGUGGAAGCACUACACAGAGGGCUGGCGGGUCACACAGCUUGAGUUCAGGGAGCAGGGCCAAACUCCAAACUAGAGCUGGGCCCUUUGAUGCUAAAUGGAGAUAAGUUUAGGAAAGUGAAAGUAAUUGCUCUAAGCAGCAAGAGGAAUUUUCUAGACCCUGUUCCCUUAGGAGGCGAUACAAACACAGUAGCAUUAGCUUUGGAGUGAUUUGCAGCAGAAUCACAAGGAUGGAGCCUUUGUAAGUAUUUGGGGCACAUAACCGUAGUUUUUGGGUGGAAGACCAGAGUGCCCGGUUGUUCAGUGAGCCCUGGUUUUGACCCAAUAUGGUAAUUUGUGAGCUCGAAGGAGACCAGAACUAUUCCAGUCCUCACAUGAGCCAGGGACCUUUGGACCGUCUUGCGAUGUCUGCUUUUAGUCACAAAGAAGACAGAGGCCUGAACCAGAAUUCAGGACAAAGCAAUAGCAAAUGUUUUAAGCCCACACUCUUGUUUUCCUUAUCCUUUUCAGUGCUGGGGAUCAAAUCCAGCGCCUCACACAUGCAGGGAAAACACCCUACCACUGAGCCACAUCCCCAGCCCUGCACACAUUUUAACCAGUUAACUCACUGCAAAAAAAAAAAAAAAGAUACCAGUUUUGUCUCCUCUUCUGCAGGAUGAAAAUAGAAUUUAUUGCAGUGUAUUAAAGUCCCAUUAUAGCAAAACAGGAUGACCUUUUGUUGUUUUUAAUAAUGGCAUUAGACCUGCAGGAAGCUAAAUCUGAUGAGAGAAGAGUGGUAUUAAAACAGAGCAAAACUUCCGAAGUCCGCCUCCAGGCUCCCUUUUUGAAGCACAGCAGUAGGGAAUCAAGUACGCGUGCGCUUGCACCCUGCCUGCCUGUGCCCGUUCACACACACACACACACGCACACACGCACACCCCGGCCCGGUGUGAGGGCACGUGCCAUGGUGUGUUGCUGGAAUGCUAGGGGAGAGGGGCUUCCCAUGCUGGCUCCGCCCCUACCUGGCUGUGCAACUGAAGAGUUGGGUUAAGUCGGUGAUGGUGAACCUUUCAGAGACAAGUGCCCAAACUGCACCCCAAAACCCACCUCUUGGUCACAAAGUGCCGACACUGCAAUUAAACUGGAAUGUUCGUUCAGCUGCUGGCUCACCUGCCGACAGACAGGCUGUGCGUGCCCACUGCGGCACGCGUGCCCUAGCUUCACCACCACCGGUUUAAGUGAUCUUAGGGUUUCUCCAGCCCUAGAAUGGCCCAGUGCCCUGUCUCAUAAGAGGACUGGGUGAGAUGUCUUCCCUCCCUGACUCCUCACGGUUUCAUAGCCUGUCAACAAGAGGCUCCCUUUGUUGAGUCCACCACACCCCACGCCCAGCCCCUACGGGGACCUGUGUAGGGGGGACCCUGUCCCUUCUGGGUUUACCUGGCCUGUGUGAUUCUGUUUUUCCUCUGAGCACCCAGUUCACUCUCUUUGGUGUGGGGGAAGGGCAUGUGGAUUUGGGGCCACCAGGCCUCAUCCCCGCGUGAGGGAGAGGGGUCUCCUGUGGUUACUGAGCCUCGGUAGUCAAGGGAAAAGCAUUCAUCUUCCCAAUCUGU